RNAcentral lists this ribosomal RNA (60 nucleotides) under Camellia hongkongensis. RNAcentral's name for it is "partial 26S ribosomal RNA". It matches the Rfam family "Eukaryotic large subunit ribosomal RNA", at positions 1 to 57 of the family's 3401-position model. The record is from RNAcentral. Lineage: Eukaryota; Viridiplantae; Streptophyta; Magnoliopsida; Ericales; Theaceae.
UCGCGACCCCAGGUCAGGCGGGAUUACCCGCUGAACUUAAGCAUAUCAAUAAGCGGAGGA